GAACCCUUGGAAGAUUUUUUUAAACAGAGGAGUGACGUGAUCAGAUUUGUAUUUUAGAAAAAUCACUCUGCUCUACAUGAUCCAGCUGCAGGACCUUGCCCCAACUUUCUAAAACUUAUUGUGUGCGUCUUUGUGCAUUGGUCUUUGAACUUGAAGUACAUAGGUCCACUUUUAGUUUUGCAAACACACCAAGCUCUCUCUCACUUCAAGGCUUUUGCACAUGUUCUUCCCUCUGCCUAGAAUACUUUCCUCCAUCUCAUGGCAUUUACUCAUUUUUGAGUCUAUUUCAAACGUCAUUUCUUUAGAAAGGCCUUUUCUACCCAAUCUAUCUGUAUUAGUUUUCUAUUGCUGCCAUAACAAAUUGUCACAAAAUUAGAGGUUUAAACAAUGAGAUUUAUUAUCUUACAGUUCUGGGAGUCAGAAGUCCAAAAUCAAAGGUUUAGCAGGGCUGAGUUUCUUCUGGAGAAUGCGUUUCCUUUUCUUUUCCAGCUUCUAUAGGCAGCCUGAAUUCCUUGGCUCAUGACCCCUUCCUCCAUCUUCAAAGCUGGAAACAGUGUCUCAGGUCUUUCUCACACUGCCAGCCCUUUGGUUUCCUAAUCCCCACUUCGACCUUUAAAGACUCUUGUAAUUACAUUGGGCCCAAGCAGGUGAUUCAAGAUAAUCUCCCCAUUUUAAGGUCAGCUGAUUAGCAAUAUUAAUUCCAUCUGCAAGCUGAAUUCUCUUUAGGUCUAUAACCUAACACAUUCACAAGUUCAGGGAUUAAGACAGACAUUUUUUGGAGGGCCAUUAUUCUGCCUACCACAGUAUUUAAAGUAGGUCUCCCUGAUAUUCUCUUGCUUAGCUCUUGUUUGCUUCAUGGCACUAAGCAGAAAUUUGAAUUUACUUAUUUCUUUGCUUGUUUUCUUUUUCUUCCUCUCUUCGGAAUGUAGUCUCUGCUAGGGCAGGAACCAUCUGUCUUGCUUGCCUUUGUGUGCCUAGCAAAUAGUAGAUGCUCAAUAAACAUUGCUGGAAUGAAUUGACAAAUGAAUGAAGAGUUGUUGAAAGGAUAGAUCAUGGAAUUUAAGUUGGAAAGGGAUUAAAGUAAAACUUUGAAGAGGUGAUGGAGACCCAGUCUUCAGAGGAGUAACUAAGGAAAGCAGCUAGAAAGAUGAGAGGCUGUGGAUUGAGAGUAAGACAUUAGAAUGCAUGAUUUUACAGGUGAAAAAUGCUAAGGGUAUUUUAAUAUCUAGUAAAGUUAUUCAUAAAUAUCUCUGGUGGAGUUUGGGGUCCCUUUAAAAUAAAAUAGUAGUAUGUGCUCUCUCUUAAGGAAAAUAUAUAACUAACAUCCACACAAAAUUUUGCAUCUAUUUCAGGAGGCCCACAGCUGUCCAAAUCUUCAGUGAAUGAGGGGAGUGACUUAGAGGCCGGGAAAUGACAGUAUAAGGAGGAUAGAGAGGUAUAGAGGUUACUGGCAUGAGCUUUAAAAUAUAUUUCCUCCCAACACUCCUUUAUAACACCUUAACUCACACCAAAAUUAGUCCUAGCAAGAAGAGUCUGGGCCACUUGGAAUUGGUUAUUGGGCCAAGGUGAGGCAAAAGGGAAUGAGACUUCCUCCUCCUCUUUAUUUUAGGAUGGUAACUAUAACUCAUGCAAUUAAGUGAAAAAAGAGCUACUCAAGUUAUCAACACUGAUCUCUUGGGACCGCAUACUCUUUGAGGAUGAAGCUCUGGGGAGAAUGGAAUGCAGACAGCAUGGCUGGAGAUCAUGAAGCCAUGCUGAGAGAAUGAAGACAAGUUUCGUACUCUAAGAAUGUCAGAGCAGAAAGCUAGAAAUGCCUGGGUCCUGAUAACCUCUGUGGAGCUCUCAUCUAUCUCCUCUGGAUGUAUGUGAGGGAAAGGAAAAUCCUUGUCUAGCUAAGGCACUGCUAUUUGGAAUUUGGGUUGUCAAACUCAGUCCCAGAUGGAUAACACUGAAUUGAACAGAGAAAGCAGGAUCUUAGACCUGAUGUGUUCAGAUUAAUAUCUUCAAUUGCCCUGGUCUCAGAGAUGCUAAAAUCUCAAACCUGAGGCAUCCUUGGCUUCCCACAUGAAGACUUGGUGAAGGGAAAGGACAUUGAACUGGGAAUUUGGAAAACUGGGUUCUGCCAUUUACUAGCUGUGUAAUUUUGGACAAGAUGGAGAGCCUCUCUGGGGCUCAAUUUCCCCUGCUGGAAACACAGAGAGUUCUAGCGAUCUCAGUUUCCUUGCAUUGCUCUAAGUCACUCUUUCUCUCACCCUAUGACUGAGUCAACACUGGGGGUGGAUCUAUGUAGUCAUACUGUG
Molecule: long non-coding RNA, 2300 nt
Filed under: Equus caballus (horse)
Lineage: Eukaryota; Metazoa; Chordata; Mammalia; Perissodactyla; Equidae
Description: lncRNA (ENSECAG00000044176.1)
Source: RNAcentral